CCAGUUUUGGGGGCCAAGCCUGCAUCUCCCUCCUCGUGGGGGUAGGUCUUGGCAUGGAUGACUUGUGAGCUCAUAUUUGGUCCAAAAAACAAACUAAUCUCCCAAGAAUAUACAGUGAUUUUUCAGGCAUUGGAGACUGGAGUUCCAAGUAUUACAGAAAAAGAAUUUCUGACUUUAGGAUUCAUCUGGAGAGUCUCCAAUUGACAUUUGUAAAUGGUAUACAUUAGGAUGAGAACUGGUCUUACCAGUAGGACCAAAACAGCUCAGUGACGUGGCCCCUCCGUAAACAAAGGGAGUAUCUGUUCCGAAGACAAAUUCACUUUUUUUCCCCUCAUAAACUACAGAGACUGUCUGAAAUUCCCAAAAUGGCUGCUUUCCAACCUCAAAUAUUUAAAGCCCUAGUCUCCUCCAGGAGGAUUGUUCUAGUAAAUUACCUCCUUUGAUCGUCCCAAGAACUUUAUAAGGUAAGGUAUAGCUUCCUUUGUUUUACAAAUGAGGAAACUGAGGCUGAGAGACUGUGAUAAUUAGCCGAAGCCUAGUAAAUUGCAGGGUGGAUUCAAACCCAGCUUGGCCAUUUGUCUUCCAUCUCCCUUGUCCCAUGACCUUUUCCAGUUGUGAUAGUCUACGGUGCUGAGGUCCUUAUGAUACUGGGAGGCUCUGACCCUGGCCUGUGGGAAGGCAGCUGUGACUUGCAAGAGUUAACGCCAAAGGACAGCACAGGCUACCCUAUUCGAGGGGCCCUGGGCAAAAUGGAAAUGGGGGCCCUUGUUCAAAAAUUGUUAAGAGUUCAAGACCGUGACAGCCGAGCGUUCCGUCAAGCACUGGUCCUUGUGAGCUCUGGGUCCUGUGCAGGUCGCAGGCCCUGUGGAGCCCACAGCCUGGACAAGUCACCUUGCUCCUGGGAGGAGCGUGGGCCGCGGGGUGACCUGGUGCUGGAAGAAACCAGGUUGUUUCCUAGCGAGCCUUCUCACCCGCUCCCCUGUAAUGCGGCAUGAUUGUCAAAGAAAGCAAGAGCGAGGGGUUGAGUGUACCAGAUAAUUUUUGCAGUUUAGCUGCUUUCAUUCUUCCUCUAUUGUUGUUGUUUUGAAUAAUCUGUGUGGCUUUUGAAGAAAUUGCUCGAACCGGUUUGAACCUUAAUAAGAUAUGAAAAAAUCGGAGGCAAAGAGGGCCUGGUGAUGAAAGGGGAGCUUUCAUUUGGCGCUGCAGGCGCCGGGAGCAGAGGAGCGGGGGCUGUGUGCUCAUCAGAGGCAGGUGGGCGGUGUGGGACAGAGGCGGCGCGUGCAGGGGGGCGGCCAGACAGCGGUGAGCGACAGUGCACGUCUUUAAACAGCAGAAUGACAAUUGGAAACAUAAAAGCCAAGGCGGAAAGUGCGAAGGAAAUGGAGAAAAACAAACCCGGACUCAACUAUAGCUACCUGAAUGAGCAGGAGUUGAGAGAAGAAACGGCCAGUCAGGAUUGUAAGGGGUUAGCAACGCCUGCUGCAAGAUGGAAUCCCCCAAUGGUUCUCCCCAAGGAGAGAGGCUUUUGGCACUUGGCUGGGUCUCCCCAGGAGGCAGGAUUUGCUCCAGAGGAUCUAAUUCUGGCUGAAACCUACCAAAUUCUCAGCUCCAGACACACCGAGCGGUUUCCCACUUCCAGACUCCUCCACCUGCUGGACUGCUGCCAGGGACGCGGCUUCAUUCUCCCGAGGCAUCUGCUUCUGCUUCAGGUCUCAUCUGAAAUGUCACCUCCUUGGAAAGGCCUUUCUUGGCCUAAACUACAUCCCCAUUUCUCCUGCCACCCAUUUUCUCUCUUGGCACCCUUAUAGUAUAUCUGUCUCUCCCACUGGCCCAGAAGCACCAUGAGGACGUGGAGCUUGUCAGCCUUAUUUGCUGCUCCACCCAGGGUGCCUAGCAGAAGUCAGCAUAGAGCAGGCACUGGAAAUGUGUUUUUUGAAUCAGAGAGUGGGUGAAAUUUUCUAACACCUCAGCUGUUCAGAUAUGCCCGCUCUAUUUGGAUUUCCGCUCUUAGGUAACGUCCAAAACCAUCUCUGAACAUCUGACUCGGGUGUUGCACGUUGUCUUUUGUCGGCAGAGCUUCUGGCUUUUCCUCUCUGGUUUCCUCUCUUGUUGUUAGAAUAUAGGAAUAUCCAUUGCUCCCGCGCUGUAAUAAGGAAACUGUAUUCGCCACGGCUGUCUGUGGGGUUGAAUUCUGGCUACUAGAUAGCCUUGGGGCCAUGUAAUGGGUCUUGUUUUCCUCCAUUCUGCUUCCUGUCUCCUCUCCCUGUCUGUUUCUCUCCCCAUGAAAUGUGGCAAAUGCUCAAAAAUAUUUCGUUAUUUUGAUUAAAUGAUGUGAUGUUGGGUUUCCUCUACUCUGCUAAUAAAGAGUAUCUUGUUGGUA
This is a long non-coding RNA of Equus caballus (horse), 2380 nucleotides long. NCBI's taxonomy places the organism in Eukaryota, Metazoa, Chordata, Mammalia, Perissodactyla, Equidae. The record is from Ensembl.